UGCGUAGGCGGAAUGAUAAGUCAGAGGUGAAAUCUCCCGGCUCAACCGGGAAACUGCCUUUGAUACUGUCAUUCUUGAGUACAGUUGAAGUGGGCGGAAUACGUCAUGUAGCGGUGAAAUGCAUAGAUAUGACGUAGAACACCGAUAGCGAAGGCAGCUCACUAAGCUGUAACUGACGCUCAGGCACGAAAGCGUGGGGAGCAAACAGGAUUAGAUACCCUGGUAGUCC
Molecule: ribosomal RNA, 229 nt
Filed under: uncultured bacterium
Lineage: Bacteria
Description: partial 16S ribosomal RNA
Rfam family: Bacterial small subunit ribosomal RNA
Source: RNAcentral